Molecule: ribosomal RNA, 405 nt
Filed under: uncultured bacterium
Lineage: Bacteria
Description: bacterial SSU rRNA
Rfam family: Bacterial small subunit ribosomal RNA
Source: RNAcentral
UGANGGUNCCGGAANAAUAAGCACCGGCUAACUUCGUGCCAGCAGCCGCGNUAAUACGAAGGGUGCAAGCGUUACUCGGAAUUACUGGGCGUAAAGCGUGCGUAGGUGGUUUGUUAAGUCUGAUGUGAAAGCCCUGGGCUCAACCUGGGAAUUGCAUUGGAUACUGGCAAGCUAGAGUGCGGUAGAGGAUGNCGGAAUUCCCGGUGUAGCAGUGAAAUGGUAGAGAUCGGGAGGAACAUCUGUGGCGAAGGCGGCCAUCUGGACCAGCACUGACACUNAGGCACGAAAGCGUGGGGAGCAAACAGGAUUAGAUACCCUGGUAGUCCACGCCCUAAACGAUGCGAACUGGAUGUUGGGUUCAACUAGGAACUCAGUNUCGAAGCUAACGCGUUAAGUUCNCCGCCU